Non-coding RNA from Sus scrofa (pig), 6006 nucleotides. The record is from RefSeq and is a predicted model, not a curated record. Lineage: Eukaryota; Metazoa; Chordata; Mammalia; Artiodactyla; Suidae.
GCGCGAGGUACUGUGGGUAGGAGACGGCCUUCGACGGAGGCGCCAUUUUGUGAAGCGGUGGACCCUGCUGCAAAUCUGGAGCAUAAAACCGCUACUGCUGCUACUUCUGUCUUUCUUGGGGAAAAAACAAAAUUUGAACCUUUUGGAGCAGUGUGCUAGAUCUUCAGUAGGACAAUGGGUUCAGACAAACGAGUGAGUAGAACAGAGCGCAGUGGAAGGUAUGGUUCCAUCAUAGACAGGGAUGACCGUGAUGAGCGUGAAUCCAGAAGCAGGCGGAGGGACUCAGAUUAUAAAAGAUCUAGUGAUGAUCGGAGGGGUGAUCGAUACGAUGACUACCGAGACUAUGACAGUCCAGAGAGAGAACGUGAAAGAAGGAACAGUGACCGAUCUGAAGAUGGCUACCAUUCAGAUGGUGACUAUGGCGAGCAUGACUAUAGGCAUGACAUCAGUGAUGAGAGGGAGAGCAAGACCAUCAUGCUUCGCGGCCUUCCUAUCACCAUCACGGAGAGCGAUAUUCGAGAAAUGAUGGAAUCAUUUGAAGGCCCUCAGCCUGCGGACGUGAGGCUGAUGAAGAGGAAAACAGGUGAGAGGUUGCUUAGUUCCUGCUAUUCUGGUUCUCUUCCCCAUUCCCACCUCAGUCCCUAAAGAACAUCCUGAUAUCCCCAAUCUUCAAGCACAUGAAUUCAGAAUGAAAGGUUUGCCAUGGCUAAGGAAUGUGACUCUUUGAAAACGAUGUUAGGAAGCAUCUGAGGACCUUUUUAAAAACUUUGUUUCUAGGGGCUUUUUUUUCUUCGGUAAGUAGUGAUUUAUAAACUCCUUGUUUGACUGUUUGUAGUCGGUUGCAUGGUUACUUUUUAAGCGUGGAAUCAGAUCGAGUGGCAUUUAGUUCAGGCGGCUUGGUUCCUUGCCAUGGCAAAGUAUCAAGAAGAUCCCCAAGUCAAGUCACAUUUGUAAAGCUGCUUCCCAAUUGGCUUUGUCACGCAGUGUUGAAGCAGUGGGAGAGAGAUUCACCUGUUAUAAAGGAACUGACUAACACGAGUAUCCCGUCUAUAUCUGAAUGCUGUCUCUAGGUGUAAGCCGUGGUUUCGCCUUCGUGGAGUUUUAUCACUUGCAAGAUGCUACCAGCUGGAUGGAAGCCAAUCAGGUUGCUUCACUCACCAAGUCUAGAUAUUCAUGAAAAUGGAACAAGUCUGUACAAUUAAAAAAAAAAAGGUUGAAGGAGUGGUUUGUUCCAAAGGAGUGACUUUUAAAAAAGAAAAGCUUUGUAUAUAUUAAAAUUGAUAUUACUAGAAUAAAUACCAUGCAAAGCACCACUACAUUGCAGAAUUUGCUCUGCCUUUAAAUGUGGCUACCUGGCAGGGCUUUGUUAACCCCUGAAUAUCUUGAACAUCUCAAAUAUUCCUCUUUCCUUGCCUGAUUAUAUUCCUAUUUAUUAUGUCCAUUGAGAGUAAUCUUAGAAUAUCUAACUCUCAAUUUGACAGUGAAGAGAGUAUAAAAGAAGUCUGCUACAGAAAUUUUAUAAGUAACUCUUUAUUUCUGCUUUGAGAUCACAAGCCUCUUGGAGGCAUAACUGCUCAUAUGGGUCUUCAAGAACUAUUUAAGGACCUAGUAGAAUUUAUGAACAAUAAGUCUGAUGAGACUAGCUUGGGAGCUGAUGUCCUGCCGCUGUCUGAUCUAGUUAGAGUGGCAUUAACAUUCUAAUCUCCUUGAGAAUACCUUUUAUAGUCUCUUCAAAGCAAAUCAUUGAUGAUUCUUUGAUGCAGCAUUAACUGAAGUGUUCUACAGUUUGUCAAGAUAAUGUUCAGUGCUUGGCACUUAAAUAACAUUUUUUGCAAGAACUCCAAAGCACAGUAUCGAAUGCCUUAACCAAGUGCAUUCUGGGGAAGUUUGCUUAACUCAUUAUGUUGCUUUUCUGCAGCAUUUUAUGAUUUGUCACUCAUAAAUAAGAGUUAUAUUCUUUGGUAAUUUAUUGUCAUUUAUAGCAAGACUCAGGAAUGGGGGGUAUCAUUUUGAUUGACUGAUUUGUUAGAUUUUUCAGCCUGUUUCCUUAACCCAGAGGUGACAAUCUGGUCAUAUAAAAGUAGAUCUUCAUUCAUUUCAUACCAUGGACACCAUCCUGAUAAAUUCAGAGUAUAUGCAAGUGUUAUGUGAGUCCACUUUCUUUACAUGACAGCAUCUUUUAAUGCAGUGAAUAUAUCAGAAUUACUUGUUUGGGAGUUUAAAGCUCCUAGGAAAUUAAAACCUGUAAGACACUUGAAGAUCUCCACAAUUUUAAUGUAUACAAAGCUAUGUUAAUGUGUAAUAUUUCAUUACAAUUCAAAUUCACUCCAAAAAUAAAAGGCCAAUAGGAUUAGGGACUCAGUGGUAGUUUGGAGUCUCCCCUAGCACAUAUCCCUUCUAAUGGGAUGAUCUGUUGACAUAUCUCCCAGCCUCUUUGUUUUUGCUUCUGUACAACACAGUGAGUGGAUGGCCCUUCAGCUUUUUCCCUCUUGGCCAGACAUGCAGUCUUGCCUUUAGAUAUUGCAGAGACAACAUUCACAGCAUGUCUUUAACUCUUCCAGGAUUUGCAAGAAUCAAAUUGCUCAACAGUAUGUAUGUUUAGAGGGGUUAGACUCCUUUAAAAUUUUUUGGAUACCUAACCUCCUACUUAAAUCUGUUCUGACAGUGUCAGAACAUCCCACUCCCUUCCCCUCCCCCAAGAAAAAAAUUUUUUUUUCCUGUUAAAUGAAGGCUCUUUGGGGGCAGGUGCUGGGUGUACUCUUGGCUAGACUGAUUCAGCUCAGAGUUUUGACCUUUGAAAGUUAAGUCCCUUUAGUCGUGUGGUUGACUUGAAGGAUGAGGUGGUAUAUGAACAUUUACAAACUUCCUAACCCCCUGAAGAAACUUCAUUGGCCUCCUGGUUACUCAUCUCGAAGAGAGUACCAUCUAUUUCACUGAAAGACGCAUCUUUCACUCAGGACAUCACGUGGUUGGAGUUGGCAGGAAGAAAUCUUAUUUAGCUGUUUUAGAGUCGAUGGCAUUCAGAAUAGUCCCUCCUGAGAAAAUUGUAACCAGAUUCCCUUUAAAAAUGAGUUCCUUCCCAUUGUCCCCCAAAGGACACAUCCUGAAGCAGGAAUUUGGGGGAAGGGGAAAAAUAAAGGCUUUCACUUUGCAUAAAGAUGGGGGCCUGGGGAAAAAGUGAAGUGAAGCCCAAGGACACCAUGUUUAAGGGCUGAAGUAGGAGACAACAUCAGAACUGGGAAAGUUGUGUCUUCUGCUUUUUGAAAUAGACUGUCACUCUCAGGCAGCCUGUCAAUGCUGAACGUUAGGACUUCUGUCUCUGCUGGAGACACGGCCUGGUGCAUGUCAGCGUUUAGUGUGUGGCAGCUUUCUCAGCACUCCCUGACUCCGUUUACCUUUACUCCGCAUCCCAUUCUCUUACUGCCUAUCUGAAGGAUUGGAUGGGCAGAGUAUAGGUGGCGGUGGUUGGUCCUCCCCGUAUGUUGUCCAUUUAAUUCCAGAGCACUGAUUUUUCCGAAGUGUGCUCUGCCCUGGGAAAAUGGACACACGUUCCUCACAAUGGAAAUAACUAAUUACUUCUUUUUUUACAGAAAAAGUUGGUGAUUCAAGGAAAGCAUAUCGCAAUGCAUUAUAGCAAUCCCAGACCUAAGUUUGAAGAUUGGCUUUGUAACAAGUGCUGCCUUAACAAUUUCAGGAAAAGACUAAAAUGCUUCCGAUGUGGAGCAGACAAGUUUGAUUCUGAACAGGAAGUGCCCCCUGGAACCACAGAAUCAGUUCAGUCUGUGGAUUACUACUGUGAUACAAUCAUACUUCGAAACAUAGCUCCACACACUGUGGUGGAUUCCAUCAUGACAGCGCUGUCUCCCUACGCGUCCUUAGCUGUCAAUAACAUUCGCCUCAUAAAAGAUAAACAGACCCAGCAGAACAGAGGUUUCGCGUUUGUGCAGCUGUCUUCUGCAAUGGAUGCUUCUCAGCUGCUUCAGAUACUACAGAGCCUCCAUCCUCCUUUGAAAAUUGAUGGCAAAACUAUUGGGGUUGAUUUUGCAAAAAGUGCCAGAAAAGACUUGGUCCUCCCAGAUGGUAACCGGGUCAGCGCCUUCUCUGUGGCUAGUACAGCCAUUGCUGCCGCUCAGUGGUCAUCCACCCAGUCUCAGAGUGGUGAAGGAGGCAGUGUUGACUACAGUUACCUGCAACCAGGCCAAGAUGGCUACGCCCAGUAUGCUCAGUAUUCACAGGAUUACCAGCAGUUUUAUCAGCAACAAGCUGGAGGAUUGGAAUCUGAUGCAUCAUCUGCAUCAGGCACAGCAGUGACCACCACCUCAGCAGCUGUAGUGUCUCAGAGUCCCCAGCUGUAUAACCAAACCUCCAAUACACCCGGCUCUCCGCAGUGCCUGACACAUCCACUUACCAGUAUGAUGAAUCUUCAGGAUAUUAUUAUGAUCCAACCACAGGGCUGUAUUAUGACCCCAACUCACAGUACUACUACAAUUCCUUAACUCAGCAGUACCUGUACUGGGAUGGAGAAAAGGAGACCUAUGUGCCGGCCGCGGAGUCUAACUCCCACCAGCAGACGGGCCUCCCUCCUGCGAAAGAGGGGAAGGAAAAGAAAGAGAAACCCAAGAGCAAAACAGCCCAGCAGAUUGCCAAAGACAUGGAACGCUGGGCUAAGAGUUUAAACAAGCAGAAAGAAAAUUUUAAAAACAGCUUUCAACCUGUCAAUUCCUUGAGGGAAGAAGAAAGGAGAGAAUCUGCUGCAGCAGAUGCUGGGUUUGCUCUCUUUGAGAAGAAGGGAGCCUUAGCAGAAAGGCAGCAGCUCAUCCCUGAAUUGGUGCGAAAUGGAGACGAGGAAAAUCCCCUCAAAAGGGGUCUGGUUGCUGCUUAUAGUGGUGACAGUGACAAUGAAGAGGAGCUAGUGGAGAGACUUGAGAGUGAGGAAGAAAAGCUGGCCGACUGGAAGAAGAUGGCCUGCUUGCUCUGCCGGCGCCAGUUCCCAAACAAAGACGCCCUGGUCAGGCACCAGCAGCUCUCAGACCUACACAAGCAAAACAUGGACAUCUACCGACGAUCCAGAUUGAGUGAGCAGGAGCUGGAAGCCUUGGAGCUGAGGGAGAGAGAGGUGAAUGGGGGUCAUUGUGCCGCUAGAAAGAGUGUCUUGGGAUGAAAUACCGGGAUCGAGCUGCAGAAAGACGAGAGAAGUAUGGCAUCCCAGAACCUCCAGAACCCAAGCGCAAGAAGCAGUUUGAUGCUGGCACUGUGAAUUACGAGCAGCCCACCAAAGAUGGCAUUGACCACAGUAACAUUGGCAACAAGAUGCUGCAGGCCAUGGGUUGGAGGGAAGGCUCGGGUUUGGGAAGAAAGUGUCAAGGCAUCACAGCCCCCAUUGAGGCUCAAGUCCGGCUAAAAGGAGCUGGCCUAGGAGCCAAAGGCAGCGCAUAUGGACUCACUGGUGCAGAUUCCUACAAAGAUGCUGUACGGAAGGCCAUGUUUGCCCGGUUCACUGAGAUGGAGUGAGACUCAGAGGGGUGACAAAGAGCACGGAGUGCUCCAGCUCCUAAAUUCACUCUGACCACCUUUCUCUUUAAGGGCAUGCCUCAUGCUGUUAAUAGUUUUUAGGGUGAACCACUUCAUUCUGAAAGGUUCUCCCACUUAAAGGAGUUCCCCUUGUAUGAGUUAUCUGGUGAAUGGACUGCCUUCCUGCCAGAGGGCUUUUGAGCUGGCCAAGGGGACAGUGGGUCUUUUAUACUUCUGUGUAUAUAGUGUAAUGUAGUGUGUUUUACAUGUGUAGCCUAUGUUAUGAUCCAGCACCCCCUUGCAUUCCUAGGGGUUGUUGAGAUGCCCUAGGUGGUAUGUAACACCAAAGCCGCCUCUGUCAUUCGUUGUGCUGUCUUUUCUUGGCAAAAGCCUUGUGUAUAUUUGUACAUUACACAUUUGUACAGAAUUUUGGAAGAUUUUCAGUCUAGUUGCCAAAUCUGGCUCCUUUACAAAAGAAAUACCUUGGAAAAUGAG